Molecule: ribosomal RNA, 440 nt
Filed under: uncultured bacterium
Lineage: Bacteria
Description: partial 16S ribosomal RNA
Rfam family: Bacterial small subunit ribosomal RNA
Source: RNAcentral
CCUACGGGGGGCAGCAGUGGGGAAUAUUGCACAAUGGGGGAAACCCUGAUGCAGCGACGCCGCGUGAGUGAAGAAGUAUUUCGGUAUGUAAAGCUCUAUCAGCAGGGAAGAAAAUGACGGUACCUGAUUAAGAAGCCCCGGCUAACUACGUGCCAGCAGCCGCGGUAAUAAGUAGGGGGCAAGCGUUAUCCGGAUUUACUGGGUGUAAAGGGAGGGUAGACGGCAGCACAAGUCUGGAGUGAAAUGCCGGGGCUUAAACCCGGAACUGCUUUGGAAACUGUGCAGCUUGAGUGCAGGAGAGGUAAGUGGAAUUCCUGGUGUAGCGGUGAAAUGCGUAGAUAUUAGGAGGAACACCAGUGGCGAAGGCGGCUUACUGGACUGUAACUGACGUUGAGGCUCGAAAGCGUGGGGAGCGAACAGGAUUAGAUACCCCAGUAGUC